RNAcentral lists this transfer RNA (73 nucleotides) under marine eukaryotic metagenome. It matches the Rfam family "tRNA". From Rfam's summary of the family: Transfer RNA (tRNA) molecules are approximately 80 nucleotides in length. Their secondary structure includes four short double-helical elements and three loops (D, anti-codon, and T loops). The record is from RNAcentral.
CCGAUGUAGCUCAGUCCGGUUAGAGCGAGGGAUUCAUAAACCCUAGGUCGGAGGUUCGAGUCCUCCCAUCGGC